ACUCCUACGGGAGGCAGCAGUGGGGAAUAUUGCACAAUGGGGGAAACCCUGAUGCAGCCAUGCCGCGUGUGUGAAGAAGGCCUUCGGGUUGUAAAGCACUUUCAGUAGGGAGGAAGGUAGUGUAGUUAACACCUGCAUUAUUUGUACGUUACCUACAGAAGAAGCACCGGCUAACUCCGUGCCAGCAGCCGCGGUAAGUACGGAGGGUGCGAGCGUUAAUCGGAAUUACUGGGCGUAAAGCGCAUGCAGGCGGCCUGUUAAGUCAGAUGUGAAAGCCCGGGGUCUUAACCUCGGAAUUGCAUUUGAAACUGGCAGGCUAGAGUCUUGUAGAGGGGUUAGAAUUUCAGGUGUAGCGGUGAAAUGCGUAGAGAUCUGAAGG
RNAcentral lists this ribosomal RNA (379 nucleotides) under uncultured bacterium. RNAcentral's name for it is "bacterial SSU rRNA". It matches the Rfam family "Bacterial small subunit ribosomal RNA", at positions 335 to 704 of the family's 1533-position model. The record is from RNAcentral.